Molecule: ribosomal RNA, 253 nt
Filed under: uncultured bacterium
Lineage: Bacteria
Description: partial 16S ribosomal RNA
Rfam family: Bacterial small subunit ribosomal RNA
Source: RNAcentral
UACGUAGGGUGCAAGCGUUAAUCGGAAUUACUGGGCGUAAAGCGUGCGCAGGCGGUUUUGUAAGUCUGUCGUGAGAGCCCCGGGCUCAACCUGGGAAUUGCGAUGGAGACUGCAAGGCUAGAAUCUGGCAGAGGGGGGUAGAAUUCCACGUGUAGCAGUGAAAUGCGUAGAGAUGUGGAGGAACACCGAUGGCGAAGGCAGCCCCCUGGGUCAAGAUUGACGCUCAUGCACGAAAGCGUGGGGAGCAAACAGG